UCUAUCUACAGUCACCUUGGCAAUCGACAAGGCAUUAAUUUUCACCUACUGCCGGUAGAGUAAAGUACUCGUCCAGAGAAAAUAAGAAGAACGGAAGGAGCAGACAACAAUUUAAAGGAUUUCCGACGUACGUCUAAAUAGAACAACAGAACGCAUAUAAACUUGUGUGUUAUAUAUUAACUUUUAUUUAAUAUCCCGGCGUGGUUGCACGUUUUAAUAAGUGUGAUAACAUAUUUCGUUAGAUCAUGUUAAGCUAUCAGACUGUCUUCAUUGGUUCUCAGCUCGAGGCACUUGUCCUCACAAUCUGCUUGGGUUAAAAAGUUAUUAGCAUUUCCACAGCAGCCUCUAUAUGAAAAAAGUGUGCAUUUGUUGGUCACUGAAUCAUAGGACCAUCUGUUGUUAAGAAUCAAGUAGAAUCUUCUAUCAAGUCCAUUAUCAGCAUGUGGCAAAUCGCAGUCCUCUGUGUGGGUAUUAACGAAAUAAAAGCUGAGUUUGCUUGAA
Molecule: long non-coding RNA, 501 nt
Organism: Drosophila virilis
Lineage: Eukaryota; Metazoa; Arthropoda; Insecta; Diptera; Drosophilidae
Source: RefSeq, a predicted model, not a curated record